RNAcentral lists this ribosomal RNA (1375 nucleotides) under uncultured prokaryote. Its description in RNAcentral is "partial 16S ribosomal RNA". It matches the Rfam family "Bacterial small subunit ribosomal RNA", at positions 29 to 1393 of the family's 1533-position model. The record is from RNAcentral.
UUGAACGCUGGCGGUAUGCUUAGCACAUGCAAGUCGAACGGUAACAGAGGAAGCUUGCUUCUUGCUGACGAGUGGCGGACGGGUGAGUAACGCGUAGGAAUCUGCCUCAUGGCGGGGGGGAACGCACCGAAAGGCGCGCUAAUACCGCAUAAGCCCUACGGGGGAAAGCGGGGGACCUUCGGGCCUCGCACCAUGAGAGGAGCCUGCGUUAGAUUAGCUAGUUGGUGGGGUAAAGGCCUACCAAGGCGACGAUCUAUAGCUGGUUUGAGAGGAUGAUCAGCCACACUGGGACUGAGACACGGCCCAGACUCCUACGGGAGGCAGCAGUGGGGAAUAUUGGACAAUGGGGGCAACCCUGAUCCAGCAACGCCGCGUGUGUGAAGAAGGCCUGAGGGUUGUAAAGCACUUUCAAUAGGGAAGAAGGGUAGUAUGUUAAUAGCGUAUUAUUUUGACGUUAACUAUACAAGAAGGACCGGCUAACUCUGUGCCAGCAGCCGCGGUAAUACAGAGGGUGCAAGCGUUAAUCGGAAUUACUGGGCUUAAAGCGCGCGUAGGCCGUUUAUUAAGUUGGAUGUGAAAGCCCCGGGCUCAACCUGGGAUGGUCAUUCAAAACUGGUAGACUAGAAUGUGAUAGAGGACAGUGGAAUUCCUAGUGUAGCGGGUGAAAUGCGUAGAGAUCGGAAGGAAUAUCAGUGGUGAAGGCGGCUAUCUGGACCAAUACUGACGCUGAGGUGCGAAAGCGUGGGGAGUAAACAGGAUUAGAUACCCUGGUAGUCCACGCCGUAAACGAUGUCAACUAGCCGUUGGGGGGCUUGUCCCUUUAGUGGGCGCAGUUAAUGCGAUAAGUUGACCGCCUGGGGAGUAUGGCCGUAAGGUUAAAACUCAAAUGAAUUGACGGGGGCCCGCACAAGCGGUGGAGCAUGUGGUUUAAUUCGAUGCAAUGCGAAGAACCUUACCAGGUCUUGACAUCCCGAGAAUUUACUAGAGAUAGUUUAGUGCCUUCGGGAACUCGGUGAUAGGUGCUGCAUGGCUGUCGUCAGCUCGUGUCGUGAGAUGUUGGGUUAAGUCCCGUAACGAGCGCAACCCUUGUCCUUAGUUGCCAGCAUGUAAUGGUGGGAACUCUAAGGAGACUGCCGGUGAUAAACCGGAGGAAGGUGGGGACGACGUCAAGUCAUCAUGGCCCUUACGGCCUGGGCUACACACGUGCUACAAUGGUCGGUACAGAGGGCCGCAAACCCGCGAGGGGGAGCCAAUCCGACAAACCUAGUCGUAGUCCGGAUCGGAGUCUGCAACUCGACUCCGUGAAGUCGGAAUUGCUAGUAAUCGCGAAUCAGAAUGUCGCGGUGAAUACGUUCCCGGGCCUUGUACUCACCGC